Molecule: transfer RNA, 84 nt
Filed under: Microbotryum lychnidis-dioicae p1A1 Lamole
Lineage: Eukaryota; Fungi; Basidiomycota; Microbotryomycetes; Microbotryales; Microbotryaceae
Description: tRNA-Val for anticodon CAC
Source: RNAcentral
GCUUCCGUGGUGUAGUUGGUUAUCACGUAUGCUUCACAUGCGUGUGUUCGCAUAAGGUCUCCGGUUCGAUCCCGGACGGAAGCA